UUCUUCCUUAAACAGGAAGUAAGGCCUGCUCACUGAAUUUUGAAGAGCCGCAGUAUUCUGACUGUGCUAAGGUAGCAUAAUAAUUUGUCUCUUAAUUGGGGACUGGAAUGAAUGGUCUAACGAGAAAUUAUCUUUUUUGAGGGCAAAACUCAAAUUUAAUUUUUUAGUGAAAAAGCUAAAAUCAUAUAGAAAGACGAGAAGACCCUAUAGAGUUUGAUAUAAAAUCUAUUUUCAAUUUAGUAAAUAACAAGAAACAAAAAUAGAGUAUAUUAUUUUGUUGGGGCGACAUUUAGAUAAGAAAAACUUUUUAUAAUAAUAACUUGUAUUCAAGAAUUUUUGAUCCUUUAAAAAGAUUAAAAGAAUAAAUUACCUUAGGGAUAACAGCGUUAUCUUCCUUGAGAGCCCAAAUCGACAGGAAGGUUUGCGACCUCGAUGUUGGACUAAAAUUAAGUUAAGGUGCAGAAGCCUUAGACUUAGGUCUGUUCGACCUUUAAUUUUUU
RNAcentral lists this ribosomal RNA (500 nucleotides) under Lepas pectinata. RNAcentral describes it as "partial 16S ribosomal RNA". It matches the Rfam family "Bacterial large subunit ribosomal RNA", at positions 1834 to 2597 of the family's 2925-position model. Lineage: Eukaryota; Metazoa; Arthropoda; Thecostraca; Lepadidae. The record is from RNAcentral.